UACUCUUGACAUCCAGAGAAUUCGCUAGAGAUAGCUUAGUGCCUUCGGGAACUCUGAGACAGGUGCUGCAUGGCUGUCGUCAGCUCGUGUUGUGAAAUGUUGGGUUAAGUCCCGCAACGAGCGCAACCCUUAUCCUUGUUUGCCAGCACAUAAUGGUGGGAACUCCAGGGAGACUGCCGGUGAUAAACCGGAGGAAGGUGGGGACGACGUCAAGUCAUCAUGGCCCUUACGAGUAGGGCUACACACGUGCUACAAUGGCGUAUACAGAGGGCUGCAAGCUAGCGAUAGUGAGCGAAUCCCACAAAGUACGUCGUAGUCCGGAUUGGAGUCUGCAACUCGACUCCAUGAAGUCGGAAUCGCUAGUAAUCGUGAAUCAGAAGGUCACGGUGAAUACGGACCCGGGCC
Molecule: ribosomal RNA, 405 nt
Filed under: uncultured bacterium
Lineage: Bacteria
Description: bacterial SSU rRNA
Rfam family: Bacterial small subunit ribosomal RNA
Source: RNAcentral